GUGAUUCUUAGACCGUCGCAGACUAACUAAAGCGAAAGCAUUUGCCAAGGAUGUUUUCAUUAAUCAAGAACGAAAGUUAGAGGAUCGAAGGCGAUUAGAUACCGCCCUAGUUCUAACUGUAAACUAUGACAGCCAGCAAUUGGAUGUCGCUACUAUUAUGGCGGAUUUCGUUACUUUCGGGGAACCCCAACUAGUUUCCGGGGGAAAAAUAGGUGCGCAGUUGAAACUUAUAGGAGAUGUGGGAGGAUCCCACCCCAGCGUGGAAAUUGGCGCCUUAUUUUACUUCAACCGGGGAA
This 296-nucleotide ribosomal RNA is filed under the name Chironomidae environmental sample. RNAcentral's name for it is "partial 18S ribosomal RNA". It matches the Rfam family "Eukaryotic small subunit ribosomal RNA", at positions 911 to 1211 of the family's 1831-position model. The record is from RNAcentral. Lineage: Eukaryota; Metazoa; Arthropoda; Insecta; Diptera; Chironomidae.